UUGACCUCGGAUCAGGUAGGGAUACCCGCUGAACUUAAGCAUAUCAAUAAGCGGAGGAAGGCCACGGCCGUAAAACACCCCAAAUUUUCUGAAAUGUUGACCUCGGAUCAGGUAGGAAUACCCGCUGAACUUAAGCAUAUCAAUAAGCGGAGGAA
Molecule: ribosomal RNA, 155 nt
Filed under: Lasiodiplodia pseudotheobromae
Lineage: Eukaryota; Fungi; Ascomycota; Dothideomycetes; Botryosphaeriales; Botryosphaeriaceae
Description: partial 28S ribosomal RNA
Rfam family: Eukaryotic large subunit ribosomal RNA (bases 98-155)
Source: RNAcentral